Molecule: long non-coding RNA, 714 nt
Filed under: Homo sapiens (human)
Lineage: Eukaryota; Metazoa; Chordata; Mammalia; Primates; Hominidae
Description: long non-coding RNA NONHSAT166469.1
Source: RNAcentral
CGUUACACGGACUGUGCACGCGCCUCCGGUGUCCCUGCGCGUGACACAAAUUUGGCCCCGAGGGAGCUCCAUGUGCCUGAGUCCCAGGAGCCCUAGAUGCCAGCGACAGCUUGUCACCAGGCCUGCGACGCCAAUGGGCGGGAGUCGGCGGAGCUCAGGACACUGACGACGGGCCUGGGGGAAAGCGGUCCCCACACAGCCCGGGGCCAGAGGAGCGGGCUGCCAGGGUCAGACGGAGGAAGACCGCGGGAAACAGACUGGACGUGCAGGGAAAUCCGCCACCCACAAGCACACUUGGAGGCAGCAUCCUUGCAGGACUCGCGCCGGAGCCUGAGCCCUCCAGCCAGCCCAGCGCGCCACCGCCCUUCUGUCCCCAGCCACCCACGAGAGAAUCUGGGUCGCCAGGGCCUUGUCCUUCACCAAGGCAAAGCCGGCUCAGCCUCAGAGCCACAGGCGAGAGCGCCUGUCUGCAUGUAGAGGGAACUAAGCUGGGCAGGGUCAGCGUCCCAUUCUGCAGAGGAGGAAGCUGAGGCCCACGAGGUGUCAUGAGGACUGGACAUGGGUCUAUCAGGACCAUCGGCAUGAUGUCAGCCAAGGAUCUCGUGGCCUGCCUCUGCCAAGGGGGGACCAGCACCUUGUCCUGAGCACUUCCAGCCUCCCAUUGCCUUCAACCUGGCUGCAUUCAGCUGCCAUGCCCCUACCUCCUGAUGUGGC